UACGUAGGUGGCAAGCGUUAUCCGGAUUUACUGGGUGUAAAGGGCGUGUAGGCGGGAAAGCAAGUCAGAUGUGAAAACCACGGGCUCAACCUGUGGCCUGCAUUUGAAACUGUUUUUCUUGAGUACUGGAGAGGCAGACGGAAUUCCUCGUGUAGCGGUGAAAUGCGUAGAUAUGAGGAGGAACACCAGUGGCGAAGGCGGGCUGCUGGACAGCAACUGACGCUGAGGCGCGAAAGCGUGGGGAGCAAACAGG
Molecule: ribosomal RNA, 253 nt
Filed under: uncultured bacterium
Lineage: Bacteria
Description: partial 16S ribosomal RNA
Rfam family: Bacterial small subunit ribosomal RNA
Source: RNAcentral